Molecule: long non-coding RNA, 549 nt
Filed under: Spirodela polyrhiza (greater duckweed)
Lineage: Eukaryota; Viridiplantae; Streptophyta; Magnoliopsida; Alismatales; Araceae
Description: long non-coding RNA (SPOL_LNC000797)
Source: RNAcentral
UUCGAUAUUGUCCUCUCUCUUCCUCGGUCCUCCCGACCUGGUUUAUCCUUGUCCAUCUAUCCAUUCAUUUCUCUACCCAAUUCGUGUACGAAAAUAUCCCCUCCAUCCAACUUCCUCCACUGACAACCUUCAGACCGUCCAGCUCUCUCGUCUCCUUCCCUGUCUCGUCCAGUUGCACCUUCUAUCCUCUCUCUCCACCGUGGAUCUGGUGGCGAUGCGGCGCGACGCUGUCCUUCUCUUCAUUCUCCUCUGCAUCCUACUGGCUUCUCCGGCGGCUUCAGUCUCCACAGCCUGGCGCGAGCACGCGACCUACGAGAGCGUGCGCUCAGCCCUGGUGGAGGCCAGAUUAAGGCGGGAAGGAGCCGAGUUUUGGCCAGCAGAUUGGUGGAUGUCUGACAAGCGGCGUCGGCGUCGACGGCGGAGAUCGCUGCCACCUCCAGUAUACAGACCGACAGCCUAUCAGAACAGACCGCCGGCUAGCCCCUUCUGGCCGCCACCUUGACCUCCACCGCAGCCUCGUCUUCCGCCGCCGCCGAUCCCGCAUCCGCC